This 784-nucleotide ribosomal RNA is filed under the name Mycothermus thermophilus. RNAcentral describes it as "LSU rRNA". It matches the Rfam family "Eukaryotic large subunit ribosomal RNA", at positions 114 to 931 of the family's 3401-position model. The record is from RNAcentral. Lineage: Eukaryota; Fungi; Ascomycota; Sordariomycetes; Sordariales; Chaetomiaceae.
UUUGAAAGCUGGCCUUCGGGUCCGCGUUGUAAUUUGCAGAGGAAGCUUUGGGCGCGGCGCUGUCUGAGUCCCCUGGAACGGGGCGCCAAAGAGGGUGAGAGCCCCGUAUAGACGGAUGCCUAGCCUGUGUAAAGCUCCUUCGACGAGUCGAGUAGUUUGGGAAUGCUGCUCAAAAUGGGAGGUAAAUUUCUUCUAAAGCUAAAUACCGGCCAGAGACCGAUAGCGCACAAGUAGAGUGAUCGAAAGAUGAAAAGCACUUUGAAAAGAGGGUUAAAUAGCACGUGAAAUUGUUGAAAGGGAAGCGCUUGUGACCAGACUUGCGCCGGGCUGAUCAUCCGGUGUUCUCACCGGUGCACUCUGCCCGGCUCAGGCCAGCAUCGGUUCUCGCGGGGGGAUAAAGGCUUAGGGAAUGUAGCUCCUCCGGGAGUGUUAUAGCCCUCUGCGUAAUACCCUCGCGGGGACCGAGGUCUGCGCUCUGCAAGGAUGCUGGCGUAAUGGUCAUCAGCGACCCGUCUUGAAACACGGACCAAGGAGUCAAGGUUUUGCGCGAGUGUUUGGGUGUCAAACCCGCACGCGUAAUGAAAGUGAACGUAGGUGAGAGCUUCGGCGCAUCAUCGACCGAUCCUGAUGUACUCGGAUGGAUUUGAGUAAGAGCGUUAAGCCUUGGACCCGAAAGAUGGUGAACUAUGCUUGGAUAGGGUGAAGCCAGAGGAAACUCUGGUGGAGGCUCGCAGCGGUUCUGACGUGCAAAUCGAUCGUCAAAUCUGAGCAUGGGGCGAAAGAC